GAUGAACGCUGGCGGCGUGCUUAACACAUGCAAGUCGAACGGAAAGGCCCAAGCUUGCUUGGGUACUCGAGUGGCGAACGGGUGAGUAACACGUGGGUGAUCUGCCCUGCACUUCGGGAUAAGCCUGGGAAACUGGGUCUAAUACCGGAUAGGACCACAUUUUGGAUGGUGUGGUGGAAAGUUUUUCGGUGUGGGAUGAGCUCGCGGCCUAUCAGCUUGUUGGUGGGGUAAUGGCCUACCAAGGCGUCGACGGGUAGCCGGCCUGAGAGGGUGUACGGCCACAUUGGGACUGAGAUACGGCCCAGACUCCUACGGGAGGCAGCAGUGGGGAAUAUUGCACAAUGGGCGCAAGCCUGAUGCAGCGACGCCGCGUGGGGGAGGACGGCCCUCGGGUUGUAAACUCCUUUCGCUAGGGACGAAGCGUUAUGUGACGGUACCUGGAGAAGAAGCACCGGCUAACUACGUG
This 466-nucleotide ribosomal RNA is filed under the name uncultured bacterium. RNAcentral's name for it is "partial 16S ribosomal RNA". It matches the Rfam family "Bacterial small subunit ribosomal RNA", at positions 28 to 507 of the family's 1533-position model. The record is from RNAcentral.